Long non-coding RNA from Halichondria panicea, 2329 nucleotides. RefSeq lists it as uncharacterized. The record is from RefSeq and is a predicted model, not a curated record. NCBI's taxonomy places the organism in Eukaryota, Metazoa, Porifera, Demospongiae, Suberitida, Halichondriidae. The transcript has 3 exons.
AGAAGAGAAAGUAUAGAAGGGGAAAAAGUGUAUAUAAUAAUCUGUCUAAAACUGACUUGCAAUUGUAUAAUUAUGGUAUCAUUGUUGUGUUUUGUGGCUGCUUAUACCAGGACCUCAAGGAUCUAGGAAGCAACAAAGAAGAAGAUUUUGUUUUCAAUUAAUUAUAAGCGGAAGUGCAUAAUUAUUUCAUAAAGUUAGCUUAUCUAUAUAAAGUCACUGAGAAGAAAAGACUUAUUACAUGCAUCUAUUGUUGUAUUAUGUGGCUUUAAUACCAGGAUCUCAAGAAAGAAGAAAAUUGGAUCUGUAGUUCAUGCAGUGUAUAAUUAUAAUAUUUAAGAAGAAAAGACUUGUGUACAUGCAUAUUGUUAUCUAUAGUAGUGUUUUGUGGCUUACCAGGCCCUCAAGAAAAAUAUGAUUCUGCCAGGAGGAUCUGGAUCUGGGGAAUGAGCGCGCAUGCGCAUUACAUCCAUAGGAAUAAUUAAAGGGUGUGUCCAAAGAGAUCAAUUUCACAAAUGGCUACUGCUAGCUAGCUGUUUUAACAGGUAUUUUCUGAGUCUUGUAGCUAACAAAAAGCUAGCGCUUUAGUGCAAGGCUAACUCAUAUGUUGAAUAGAAAGUUUGUGCGGACAGAUGAUGCUAUGAAAGAUUCUGAAGAGACUGCAACAGCCUUCAAUGUGACUCAAACUAGCCAUAACUCGAGAAAGAAGCUUUAGUUUGCUAAUCCACGAAUCAAAAUCCAAGAGAACGUGGCUAGAAGCCUAUAGAAGCUGUUAGUUUUAGUCGCAUUGCAACCGUUGAGCAGUUACAGCUGGAACAGACACACAGACACACAGACACACACACACACACACACACACACAGUCAGCUUUACCGUAUCCCUCAUGCGGCUACGCCUCGAGGCAUAAUUAUGCUGCGGUGGACUUGUACCAGCAUUAGCUCUUCUCGACGCUGUUCUAGAGUAGUCCAUCCUAGCUCGCUACGCAGCGGAGGCUUGGAGUCCUAGGAGGCUUGCCCAGGAUGACCCUCAUGCCAUAAUUCUGGAUGCUCUCAACUCGAUCUUUGAGCUUGCUGCUACAGGCAUGCCAUACUACUGAGCAGUAGUCCAAGUGGGGGCGAACCAAGGCAUUAAAGAGGAGUUUCCUUGUGUUGAUGGGGAUGCUUGGGCUUAUUUUUCUGAGACAGGCAAUUCCAGCUGAUGCUUUUUUCUUUACACCACUGAUGUGACUUUACGACAUUCGGAAGAUCGUUUACAAAUAUUACAAAAAGAAGUGGGCCCAGAAUAGAACCUUGAGGGACACCCCUGGUGAUGGCUGCCCAUUUAGAUGCUGAAGAGUUUACCAGGACUCUCUGCUCUCUGUCCUGAAGGUAGUUUUCAAACCAUUUAAGCUCAUUUUCUUGGAGACCAUAACUUUCCAGCUUCCGCAGGAGGAUCUUGUGGUCAAUACUGUCAAACGCUUUGCUGAGGUCAAUGAGGACUGCUCCUACAUGUUUGCCUUGGUCAAUGGCAGUCUUCCAGUCUUCAACUGUCUUUAGAAUUACAUCCUGGGUAUUGUGAGCUGGUCGGAACCCUGAUUGGUAGUGACUGAUUUGGUUGUUGCUUGCCAUAUGUGUAUACAGCUGUUUGUGGAUGAUUUGUUCCAUUACUUUUACAAUGACUGGUAGAACGGAUAUGGGUCUAUAGUUGUUAGGUUUGUGAUCAUUUGGAGUCUUUUGAAUAGGUGUGACAUUUGCUCUCUUCCAAUUCUGCAGGAAUCUUUCCUGUAGUUAGAGAGUGGUCUUUAGAUACGAAUGUAGCUACCAAAAAUUAAGGUAAACAAAAUUCAAAUGCGCUAAUAAGAGUAGAGGUUUUUAAUGGAAGGAUAUUGUCUUGUCUGCCCCGGCUGUUGCCAACAGUGUGCUUGUAGGAUUCCAGGCCACAUUCCACACACGUUCCAGGUGCCCUGAGGGAACACACAGCCUGAGGGGUGUGCUGCACUGACGGGAGAAGGACUGAAGGUUGGUCAACAGAUCCUCUCUGUAGGAGGUCAGUGUCUCUACAACCUGAGACACAAAGAGGUGGUGAUGGCCGUCAAGAGUGCCUUUGAGGGAGGACCGCUACAAAAAACAUUGGAGCUAGUAUUGUUAGAUCAAGCGUAGAACAAUAUGAUGAGCAGUUUUAUCUCUUGAUUGUUUGUACAUGUACAAUAUAUAUAUAUAGAUGAUUUUGCUAUAAUUAUAGCUCAUGAUUAAUAACUGCUUUAACAUGACUGUGUGUGUCCAUUAUACAUAUGCGACUGUAUUAAUUAAUUUUUAUGUAUUUAGCUAUUAUUUUACUGAACCAACUUCUUUUG